CGGGGUGUAGCGCAGCUUGGCAGCGCGCUUCGUUCGGGACGAAGAGGUCGCUGGUUCAAAUCCAGUCACCCCGACCA
This 77-nucleotide transfer RNA is filed under the name Acidimicrobiaceae bacterium. RNAcentral's name for it is "tRNA-Pro". It matches the Rfam family "tRNA". Rfam says of the family: Transfer RNA (tRNA) molecules are approximately 80 nucleotides in length. Their secondary structure includes four short double-helical elements and three loops (D, anti-codon, and T loops). The record is from RNAcentral. Lineage: Bacteria; Bacillati; Actinomycetota; Acidimicrobiia; Acidimicrobiales; Acidimicrobiaceae.